UACAGAGGGGGCAAGCGUUGUUCGGAAUUACUGGGCGUAAAGGGCUCGUAGGCGGCCAACUAAGUCGGACGUGAAAUCCCUCGGCUUAACCGGGGAACUGCGUCCGAUACUGGAUGGCUUGAGUUUGGGAGAGGGAUGCGGAAUUCCAGGUGUAGCGGUGAAAUGCGUAGAUAUCAGGAAGAACACCCGUGGCUAAGGCGGUUCUCUGGGACGGUACUGACGCUGAGACGCGAAAGCGUGGGGAGCGAACAGG
Molecule: ribosomal RNA, 253 nt
Filed under: uncultured bacterium
Lineage: Bacteria
Description: partial 16S ribosomal RNA
Rfam family: Bacterial small subunit ribosomal RNA
Source: RNAcentral